GAGGGUGUAGCUCAGUGGUAGAGCACAUGCUUAGCAUGCACAAGGUCCUGGGUUCAAUCCCCAGUACCUCCU
RNAcentral lists this transfer RNA (72 nucleotides) under Camelus bactrianus (Bactrian camel). It matches the Rfam family "tRNA". Rfam says of the family: Transfer RNA (tRNA) molecules are approximately 80 nucleotides in length. Their secondary structure includes four short double-helical elements and three loops (D, anti-codon, and T loops). Further hydrogen bonds mediate the characteristic L-shaped molecular structure. tRNAs have two regions of fundamental functional importance: the anti-codon, which is responsible for specific mRNA codon recognition, and the 3' end, to which the tRNAs corresponding amino acid is attached (by aminoacyl-tRNA synthetases). tRNAs cope with the degeneracy of the genetic code in two manners: having more than one tRNA (with a specific anti-codon) for a particular amino acid; and 'wobble' base-pairing, i.e. permitting non-standard base-pairing at the 3rd anti-codon position. The record is from Rfam by way of RNAcentral. RNAcentral also lists the same sequence under 1 other name. Lineage: Eukaryota; Metazoa; Chordata; Mammalia; Artiodactyla; Camelidae.